ACUGAGACCACCGUCAUUCCAGAAGCCACUGAGACCACCGUCAUUCCAGAAGCCACUGAGACCACCGUCAUUCCAGAAGCCACUGAGGCCGUCACUCCAGAAGCCACUGAGACCACAGGCUCAUCAAAAGCCACAAGACCCUGGGGCCAGAAGGCAAAAAAAAGACAAAAUCCAGUCCAACAGAGGGUAGCCAGCAAUAUGAAGCCAAAAAAAAGUAUGAGUGUCCAGAAUGCUGUUGGAGAGUGAGGCAAAACAACUUUGACUACUCCAAGGUUUUGAAAAGAAGAGUGAGAGAGGGAACAGAGGAGGUCCUCAUUUGUUGGGUUCCAUGCAAGACCUGUGGGACCAAAUGGAAAGACUCCUGGGAGCCCC
Molecule: long non-coding RNA, 372 nt
Organism: Carassius auratus (goldfish)
Lineage: Eukaryota; Metazoa; Chordata; Actinopteri; Cypriniformes; Cyprinidae
Exons: 5
Source: RefSeq, a predicted model, not a curated record